AGCAGCCGCGGUAAUUCCAGCUCCAAUAGCGUAUAUUAAAGUUGUUGCAGUUAAAAAGCUCGUAGUUGAAUUUCGGGGUUAGUAGGUUGGUCAUGUCUCUGGUAUGUACUGGUCUCACUGAUUCCUCCUUCCUGAUGAGCCGUAAUGCCAUUAAUUUGGUGUUGCGGGGAAUUUGGACUGUUACUUUGAAAAAAUUAGAGUGUUUAAAGCAAGCUAACGCUUGAAUACAUUAGCAUGGAAUAAUGAAAUAGGACGUUCGAUCCUAUUUUGUUGGUUUCUAGGAUUGACGUAAUGAUUAAUAGGGAUAGUUGGGGGCAUUAGUAUUCAAUUGUCAGAGGUGAAAUUCUUGGAUUUAUUGAAGACUAACUACUGCGAAAGCAUUUGCCAAGGAUGUUUUCAUUAAUCAAGAACGAAAGUUAGGGGAUCGAAGACGAUCAGAUACCGUCGUAGUCUUAACCAUAAACUAUGCCGACUAGGGAUCGGAUGAUGUUAAUUUUUUAAUGACUCA
RNAcentral lists this ribosomal RNA (508 nucleotides) under Glomus sp. Glo8. RNAcentral describes it as "SSU rRNA". It matches the Rfam family "Eukaryotic small subunit ribosomal RNA", at positions 569 to 1078 of the family's 1831-position model. Lineage: Eukaryota; Fungi; Glomeromycota; Glomeromycetes; Glomerales; Glomeraceae. The record is from RNAcentral.